GCGGAAAUAGCUCAGUUGGUAGAGCAUAACCUUGCCAAGGUUAGGGUCGCGAGUUCGAGUCUCGUUUUGCGCU
RNAcentral lists this transfer RNA (73 nucleotides) under Bacteroides intestinalis. RNAcentral's name for it is "tRNA-Gly". It matches the Rfam family "tRNA". From Rfam's summary of the family: Transfer RNA (tRNA) molecules are approximately 80 nucleotides in length. Their secondary structure includes four short double-helical elements and three loops (D, anti-codon, and T loops). The record is from RNAcentral. Lineage: Bacteria; Pseudomonadati; Bacteroidota; Bacteroidia; Bacteroidales; Bacteroidaceae.